AUGAAAGCCUUGUUCUGGAACAUUAGAGGUUUCGGUGCUAGGGGGCGCCGCGACCAAAUUAAAGACUUGAUUCGUGGUAAUAAUAUUGACUUGGAUGGGCUGGUUGAAACCUUUAAAGAAUCCUUCUCCCCUAACGAACUUUCUGCCAUCGCGGGCACGGAUAGAUUUGAUUUGCAUGUGCUACCUGCUUCAGGACAUUCGGGAGGGAUCCUGAUUGGCUCAAAAAAAGAUAUGUUCGAUUUCGUGGCCUUUGAUCAUGGUGUUUUCUGGGCAAGCACGGUAGUCUGUCACAAAGCCCUUAAUAUUUUAUGGGAAGUCAUUGUGGUUUAUGGCCCGGCUGAUCAUUCGCUUUCCUCCUUAUUCUUGGACGAGCUCUCUGCUAAGACCGAGGCAUGUAAUUUACCGAUAAUUAUCGGUGGGGACUUCAACCUCCUUCGCUCUCCUGCUGACAAAAGUAAUGACAAUUUUUCCUGGACGCUGGCGAACGCUUUCAAUGACUUCAUUAGCACCAAUGAUAUCCGCGAGCUAACUAGGAUUGGGCCCCGCUUCACUUGGUCUAACCAUCAGGCCAACCCGAUUAGUUCUAUGCUUGAUAGAGUUUUUAUGUGCUCUAGUUGGGAUUCUCUCUUUCCACGGGUCUCCGUCACCGCUAAAUGUAUCGUUGGCUCGGAUCACACCCCCUUUAUUCUUGAUGCUGGGCUACAUCAAGAUAGACCACCUGCCAGAUUCCAAUUUGAUGCCUCUUGGUUGCUUGUUGAUGGGUUUUACGAACUGCUUGCCUCGAAGAUUACUCACCUCCUAUCCACAAACCCUCGCUCCUUUUGUCCUCUCGAUGACAUGGCACUUUUGCUAUUACAAUUUGCGCAAAUUUCUUAG
This 876-nucleotide ribosomal RNA is filed under the name Triticum aestivum (bread wheat). RNAcentral's name for it is "partial small subunit ribosomal RNA". The record is from RNAcentral. Lineage: Eukaryota; Viridiplantae; Streptophyta; Magnoliopsida; Poales; Poaceae.